This 506-nucleotide ribosomal RNA is filed under the name Physomeloe corallifer. Its description in RNAcentral is "partial 16S ribosomal RNA". It matches the Rfam family "Bacterial large subunit ribosomal RNA", at positions 1825 to 2597 of the family's 2925-position model. The record is from RNAcentral. Lineage: Eukaryota; Metazoa; Arthropoda; Insecta; Coleoptera; Meloidae.
GUCUUUUUGUUAAUAAUUUAAGGUUUGGCCUGCUCCAUGAUGAUAUUAAAUAGCCGCAGUAUUUUGACUGUGCAAAGGUAGCAUAAUCAUUAGUUUUUUUAUUGAAAGCUGGAAUGAAUGGUCGGAUGAGAAAGGAUCUGUCUCACUUUAAUUUAGAUUGAAUUUUAUUUUUAAGUUAAAAAGCUUAAAUUUUAUAGAAAGACGAGAAGACCCUAUAGAGUUUAACAGGUUUAAAUUUAAUUAUUAAAGGAUUUGAAUUUAAUUAUUUUUUAAUUUGUUUUGUUGGGGUGACAUAAGAACUGGAAUAACUUCUUAUUAUUUUUACAUUGAUAAAUGAAUUUGAGAUCCUUAUUUUUGGAUUUAAAGAAUAAAUUACCUUAGGGAUAACAGCGUAAUUUUUUUGGAGAGUUCUGAUCGAUAAAAGGGAUUGCGACCUCGAUGUUGGAUUAAAGUUAAAUUUUGGUGCAGAAGCUGAAAUAUUAAGUCUGUUCGACUUUUAAAACUUU